Molecule: long non-coding RNA, 13331 nt
Filed under: Homo sapiens (human)
Lineage: Eukaryota; Metazoa; Chordata; Mammalia; Primates; Hominidae
Description: non-protein coding lnc-FOXL2-5:4
Rfam family: Metazoan signal recognition particle RNA (bases 7310-7426)
Source: RNAcentral
GUUCACAGACCGUGAAGAAGCUCCACCCCAAACACAGAGGCACUGCUUGCUUUGGCCCCAAAACCCUGGUGCAGGACCUAGGGGACGUAGGGCGGCAGGACGAACAUUGGCCCGGCCCUCGCCUCCUCCUGUGACCCCGCAACCCCUCACCUCCCGCGGGGAGAAGAGGCGUAAGGUGAGUGUAGAGCUGGGCCCGGAGGAAAGCUAGGCCCUCCAAGAAUGUGGGGUCUUCGCCCUUGAAAAAGCGGGUCUUCCAGAUGACGCCGUGGCAGAAAGCGCCAGAGCCCCAGCCUUCCUGCCCCGCCCUGCGCUGCGCCCUCCCCCAGCCCUCCUCCUCUUCCCGCCCCGGGCGAAAGCAGAAGUGUCCGAAAGUUGGGAGGAAAUGGCCCCGGAGCUCCCGGGGUUUCCAGCUCGCCUGCGGAGCGCGGGGCUCCAGUGCGGCGCGCUCGGGGCCGCCAGGGGGCGCUGUGGGGCGGGCCUGCCGCCGGGGGCGCGGCUGUUGCGCCCAAGGGAGAGCCGUCGCUGCCAGCCUUAGAUUUCUUUAGGAAGGGACAAAGUGAUCUGGAGCCCAGGGCUGGGAGAGGCUCUUCGGGCUCCCACCUUCAGGCAGGAUUAAUGUCGAGCCCUGAAGGCGGGGUCUCUGUCCCGCCCGCCGCUGCACUCCCAGCUCCUGGAACAGUGAAUAACAGGGGCCAUAUUCACCAAAUACUGACUGAGCGACAACAGCAGGAAAUGUCCUAAGUCCCGGUGAUGAAUCAGUGAACAAACAAAGCCUCUGCCCUAGUGAGGUUCCUAUUCUCCCCUGCGGGGAUGGGGAAAACGAUAAGCAAAACAGAAGUGUAAAUGCAUGUACGGUGAGGAUAGAUGCUGUGGAGAAAAACUAAGCGGGAUAAGGAGGGUGAGGAAUGCAUGGUGCGGUGGAGACAGGAAGGUCAGGGAAGGCUCUGAUCGGAGAGGGACGCUUCAGCAGAUCCCUCCAGGAAGGGGCGAGUCAGCUAGGAACCGAAAAAUAAGGAACACUUCAACGUGUUAAAUGAAUGAGUUUUAGAGGCAAGAUGCCACACUGAGCAAUGGCCCCUCUGGUGUGACCUGUCCUCCCUCUCUCCACACCUGUCUGCUCCCCUUCAUCCAUCCAUUCAUCCAUCCAGCCGUCCCACAGGCACCUACCUGCUCCAUGCUGGACCUUAUGUGGGGUAUAUUUCAUUUCCAUAUCCCCUACACCCAGGGAUAUGGAAAUGAAAAAGACACACUCCUGCCAGGUGCGGUGGCUCACGCCUGUAAUCACAACGCUUUAGGAGGCCAAGGCGGACGGAUCACAAGGUCAGGAGUUGGAGACCAGCCUGACUAACAUGGAGAAACCCCGUCUCUACUAAAAAUACAAAAAUUAGCCAGGCGUGGUGGCGCACGCCUGUUAUCCCAGCUACUCGGGAGGCUGAAGCAGGAGAAUCGCUUGAACCCAGGAGGCAGAGAUCGCAGUGAGCCAAGAUUGCGCCACUGCACUUCAGCCUGGGCAACAGAGUGAGACUCCGUCUCAAAAAAAAGAAAAGAAAAAGACACUCCUGGCUGGGCGCAGUGGCUCACGCCUAUAAUCCUAGCACUUUGGGAGGCCGAGGCGGGCGGAUCACGAGGUCAGGAGAUUGAGACCAUCCUGGCUAACUCGGUGAAACCCCGUCUCUACUAAAAAUACAAAAAAUUAGCCAGGCGUGGUGGCAGGCACCUGUAGUCCCAGCUACUCGGGAGGCUGAGGCAAGAGAAUGGCGUGAACCAGGGAGGCGGAGCUUGCAGUGAGCCGAGAUCGUGCCACUGCACUCCAGCGUGGGCAACACAUCAAGACUCCGUCUCAAAAAAAAAAAAGAAAAAAAAAAAAGAAAAAGACAUACUCCUUGAAGAGAAAAAGGGCCUCACUCUUACUCUGGUGGUACCAGAGAAUGGCAUAGCCCUUUGGGAGAGUAAUUGGACAGCAUCUCACUUUUAAAUAUGGCCACCCUUUGCACCCAAAGCCCCAGGCUGGGACUUGCAGCCAGGAAUUGCACAGUGGUCAGGCAGGCCCACUGACUGGAACUAGAACGUGGAUUUUAACUCCAACCCCGUCUCUUAUCAGCUCUAAAACCCUGAACAUGCCAUUUAUCUGUCUGCCUCAGCUUUCACAUCUGUAAAAUUAAGCUAAUAAAAAUAUCUAAUUAAUCGGAGUUUUGAGCUAAUACAUUGCAAAGGGCAGGGCAGACACAUAGAAAGUGUUCAAUACAUGUUAGCUACUAUUGUUAGCUCAGGCAAGGGUUUGGGCAGAAGUGCAAUUUGUCUUUUUUUUUCUUUUUUUCUUUUUUUUUUUCUUGAGACAGGGUCUCACUCUGUCGUCCAGGCUGGAGUGCGGUGGUGCCAUCUCAGCUCACUGCAACCUCCAUCUCCGAGGUUCAAGAGAUUCUCCCACCUCUGCCUCCCCAGUAGCUGGGACUACAGGCGCCUGCCAUCACACCCAACCAAUUUUUGUAUUUUUUGUUAGAGGUGGAGUUUCACCCAUGUUGGCCAGGCUGGUCUCAAACUCCUGACCUCAAGUAAUCCUCCCGCCUCAGCCUCCCAAAAUGCUGGGAUUAUAGGCAUGAGCCACCGUGACUGCCCCAAAUGCUCUUUGCAAAAUUAUCUGCAUAGCGCCAUCCCGAGGCAACCUCAAUAAAGUUCCAUCAAUAGGGAAAUGAAUCCAAUUAUGGUCUAUCCAUACUAUAGAAGAAAAUGUAAUUUUAAGAAGAUUGUGUUAAUGGGAGACAAUUUGAGACCCAUAUCAGCAAGUCAGACCAAAUGUGAAAAAGCAGUGAGUCCUGUGGAACAUUGGGAUAUGUGACAUAGGGAGGACUGGAGGGGACUUGGCCUCUGGGGGCCUCUGUUUCUCCAAUGAGAGACAAUUUGAGCUGUUAUCUGAACAGUCAGUCAAUACUAAUCAACUUUUUUAAAUGCACACAUCUUUUAACCCAACAGUUCUACUUUUAGGAGCUUAUUCAACAGUUACACUUGCACAUUUGCACAAAGAAUCAUAAAAAAAGGUUUGUGGCAGUGCUGUCAAAGGCAAGAACAACCUAAAUGUCCAUCAACACAGGAAUUGUUAAAAAAUUAUGAUGUAUCCAUCCAGUGAAAGCUUAUGUAGCCUUUAAAGUUAUCAAAGCAGGUCUAGAUGUGCGGAUGUAGGAAAAUUACAUGUAAAAUCGUCUUCAAUUUAAAAAAAAAAGACAAAGAAAAGCUUAGGUACUCACAAUAAGAGUCAUGAAAACUUUUGAGAGGGCAGGGGGCUGCUCUGGGGACCCCCAAGGAGAUAGCCUCCGAUAAUGGUGAGUCCUGAAGGUAGAACACCCCCUCAUUCUGCUUUGUUUCUUCUCUCCACCCUCAGUGCCCAGGACAGGACAGGACAGGACAAGUACUUAUUGAGCGCCACAGAGAGAGAAAGAAGAUAGGACAGGCUCUUGGGGCUCUGAGGCUCACAACAAACAAAAUGUGAUGGGGCAGCCCCUUGGAGUAACUCCAAGUCUGAGCUCAGCAGAGCUACAAGACUUCUGGAUGUGCAGAGCCCAAGUUUCCCAUCAUUUCAUCCCUGCUAGUGCUCUGGGCUGGGCUGAAGCAGCUUGUUCUGCUAGAUUUGGAACAAACACAAGCGCCUAGAGGAGACCGAGCAACACAUACUGAUCCUAUCAGGCCUAGCUGAGCCCAAGAGUUUCCUAGCUUUGCCCCAUCUAACCAUACUCUUUCAGGCGUCUUAUCUGGUUCCUGUAAGUCUUGGCCCCCAGUCCAUCUCCAUGCAAGCAAAAAUCCCUUGGACCCCGAAAGCUAAUGAAAUUUUAAAAAUAAAAAAAUUAAAUUAAAAACAGAAGAAAUCCGAAAAAAAAACUGAGAUCUACAAUCUCACAAAGAAAUAAAAGAAUAUGAAAUUGCUACUAUUCAACGAUUAGUUUUACCUUAAAAACGGCAGCUUUAUAUGGCUAAUCUUAAUGAAUUAAAACAACUUUGAGAUAUUAUUUUUAUCCUUUCAUACUGGCAAAGAUUAAAAAGGUUUGUUAACAUCUUGAAUCAGCAAAACUCUGGAGAAACAGGCACAUUAAGGGCAGAAGACAAACUUGUACCAUCCCUAUGAAAGGUGAUUUUGGCAAUUAACUGUUAAAUGACAAAUCUAAAUACCCUUUGGCCUAGCUAUUCCACUGCUAGAAGUUUAUUCUACAGAUAUACUCACAUACCUGGAAUGUACACAGUUAUUAAUUACGACAUUGUUUGUAAUCACAGAGAAUAAGAAAAAACCAAGCACCUAUCAAUUGGUGGACUGGUUAAAUAAAUUAUAGUACAUUCUCUCUUUCUUUCUCUCUCUCUCUCACACACACAGACACACACAAAAAUUAUCCAUAAAAAUUAAAUAAGAAAUCUCUUUAGGGGCCAGGUACGGUGGCUCAUGCCUAUAAUCCCAGCAUUUUGGGAAGCCAAGGCAGGCAGAUCACCUGAGGUCAAGAGUUCGAGACCAGCCUGGCCAAUAUGGUGAAACACCGUCUCUACUAAAAAUACAAAAAAUUAGCCUGGCAUGGUGGCGCACGCCUGUAAUUCCAACUACUCGGGAGGCUGAGACACGAGAAUUACUUGAACUCAGGAGGUGGAGGUUGCAGUGAGCCAAGAUGGCACCACUGCACUCCAGCCUGGACAACAGAGCAAGACUCUGUCUCAAAAAAGAAAAAAGAAAUCUCUUUACGUACUGAUUUGAAAUGCUUUCUAAGAUCUAAUCUCAUCUGUAUGCAAAUUUUUAAAAACAUGCACACAAGGUACAGAACAAUGUGUAUAGUAUGUUACCAUCUGGGUAAAAAAGGUGUGUUAUGGUAUCUAAAAAAUUGAAAACAUUUGUUGUAGAGGGGAACUUGGAUAGCUGGAAAAUAGAAGUAGGAAGGAGACUUUUCAUUAAAAUGCUGUUUUGUGCCUCUUGAAUUUUGAAUCUUCUGAAUAAUUGCCCAGUCAAAACAAACAGCAAACAAAGCACACCGGAGGAAACAAUGAAGCUUUCCAGAGUGGAAAGCCAGGAACCUGGAGCUUAGAGGCAACCUGAGGAGGCAAAACUAAUCCAAGUGGGGUAGAGGGAGAUUGCCACAAGGCCAUAGCUCACCUAAGCCAGGGAAGAGGAGUAGCCCCAUUACCAUCAGUCCCAAUGACCCACUCUGUGCUUCCUGUCCCCGCGACUCUAGGCUUUGCAAGGUUAGAGACCCUAGUCCCCGAAGGCGCUGCACUCUUGCCAGGGGACACAACAAGGGUCCUAUUGAAUUACAAACUAUAGCUACUCACCAGUGUCUAGCUGAUGAGAGAAGGAGUCCCCAUAACAGCAUGAGUAAUUGAUGGCAAUCUCAGAUCACUGCAGCCUCCGCCCCCGACUCGCCUGACCCCGCCACCCACUCCAUCUUGGGUUCAAGCGAUUCUCCUGCCUCAGCCUCCCAAGUAGCUGGGACUACAGGGGCACACCACCACGUCCGGCUAAUUUUUGUAUUUUUUGUAGAGAUGGGGUUCUCGCUAUGCUGCCCAGGCUGGUCUCCAACUCCUGGGCUCAAGGUAUCUGCCCCCACUUGGGCUCCCAAAGUGCUGAGAUGACAAGCGUGAGCCACUGCACCUUUCCCCCGCAUUGCAAUUGUGAAUGGACAUGUGUAGUAACCCCAGUCUAAGAAGGGUAUAAUUACCAAGGGUCACUCCACCGCGUAAGCUACAACCAGCAAAAGUGAUCCAUGAGGGUGAGGGGGAUUGAGUAGAUAGUGGAGGAGGGAGAAGAUAAGUACCAGUUACAACCAUGAGAUCAGCUGCAGCAAUGGGGGCUGUAGCUGUCCAACUAGUUAGAAAAAGAGGCCUUGAGGAACCACAGAGGAACUUCUCCCUGGACCUGUGUGGAAAGGCAUGUUCAUGCAAUACCAGCAGGUGAACUGAAGCAACCAUGAGAAUGUGCCUCUCAGAUCUCACCUGCAGGGAGCAUAUUUCACCAAUGGUCCUGUGUGUGCUCUGAAAUCUGUCAGAGCACAGGCUGCUCCCAGUCAAUGUCUGAGCAUUGUGGGAACACUGUACCCAGGAGAUGUAGGACUCUUCUCAGAGGCAGUUUUGGCUCAAAGACUCCCCCUCAAAAGUGAUGCCAAAACUUUCUUAGAAUUGCACUGCACUGUAAGAUUCUUCCCGUCUAACUUGCCUUCCUUCCUUCCUCCCCUCUCUUCUCCAUCAUAGCCUGAUGCUCUCCCAGGCUUCACCAGCUUCCUUUCCAUUUUCCCUUUCAGGCCUUUUCUCAGUAAAUCUCUUGAGGUCUAACCCAAUCUUGGCAUCUACUUUUUGGAAGACCGGCACUAACACAAAAGCUACUGCUAUUGUGUAUAAAAGUGAGUUCCAAGCUUCCCGGAAGUCAAAGGAAAAAUAUUACUGUAUAGUAUUCAUUAGUGUUCUUCAUCAAACACUUGUAGUUCCCCCACUUCCAGGCACCUUGAUAUGAUUGAUUCCUUGAAUUGGAUAGGGCCAUGUGACUAGAUAUGUUGCUUUAAGUUAGUAAGAUUUGGGGAGGCCAGGCACGGUGGCUCACGCCUGUAAUCCCAGCACUUUAGGAGGCCAAGGCAGGCUGAUCACUUGAGCCCAGGAGUUCGAGACCAGCCUGGCCAACAUGGUAAAACCCUCUCUCUACUAAAAACACAAAGAAAUUAGCCGGGCAUGGCAGCACAAGCCUGUAAUCCUAGCUACUCAGGAGGCUGAGGCACAAUAAUCAUUUGAAUCCGGGAGGCAGAGGUUGCAGUGAGCCAAGAUUGCACCACUGCACUCCAGCCUGGGUGACAGAAGAGUCUCUGCCUGAAGAAAAAAAAAAAAAAAGGUGGGAGAAAUCCUUUUUGUAACCAUAACCCAGACUUUCCUGACUAAUGUACAUUGGUUCCUAUUAUCUAAUUCAGUGUUUGCCAAUAGCAAUGCUAUAGACAUUUUGAAUCAGAUAAUUCUUGGCUAUAGGGACUGUACUAUGCACGUAGGAUGUUUUAGCAACAUCCCCGGCCUCUACCCACUAGAUAACUGUAGUAAGACUUUCACAGUUGUGACAACCAAAAAUGUCUUCAGACAUUGCAAAAUACCCACUGCUGGACAAAAUCGCCACCAGUUAAGAACUACUCACGUAAUGAAGAGCAGUAAAAUCUUUCUUCAAAAAGAGAUCAAGAGGCCGGGCCCAGUGGCUCACACCUGUAAUUCCAGCACUUUGGGAAGCUAAGGCAAGAGGAUUGUUUGAGACCAGGAGUUCAAGACCAGCCUGGGCAAAUGGUGAAUCUCUGUCUCUACAAAAAAAUACAAAAAAAUGGCUGGGCACGGUGGCUCACGCCUGUAAUCCCAGCACUUUGGGAGGCUGAGGCAGGCGGAUCACCUGAGGUCGGGAGUUCGAGACCAGCCUGACCAACAUGGUGAAACCCUGUCUCUACUAAAAAUACAACAUUAGCCGGGCGUGGUGGCACAUGACUGUAAUCCCAGCUACUCGGGAGGCUGAGGCAGGAGAAUCGCUUGAACCUGGGAGGCUGAGGUUGUGGUGAGCCAAGACAGGGCCACUGCACUCCAGCCUGGGCAACAGGAGAGAAACUUUGUCUAAAAAAAAAAUUAGCCAGGCAUGGUGGUGUGUGUCUGUAGUCCCAGCUACUUGGAAGGCUGAGGUGGGAGGAUUGCUUGAGCUGAGGAGGUGAACGGUCCAGUGAGCCAAGACAGUGCCACUGCACUUCAGCCUGGGUGACAGAGCCAGACCCUGUCUCAAAUAAAUAAAUAAGAUCAAAUUUACAAUGGAAUCAUAUAAAAUGCUCAAUUAAAAUCAGAAAAGGCAGAAAAAGAAGGAAGAGGAUAUAACAAGUAGAAAACAGCUACAAACAUGGUGAAUAUUAAACUGCAAUGGGUAGGGAAGUCCUCCUGGGCCUGGGAACCAAAGGGUGGAAGCAGGGGUGGCCUAUAUCAAUAAUCACUUUAAAGGUGAAUGGUCUCAAGAGAAUGAGAUGACAAGCCACAGACUGGGAGGAAAUAUUUGGAAUUCUGUACUUUUAGCUCAGUUUUACUGAAAACCUAAAAUUGCUCUAACAAAGUCUAUUUUUAAAAUAUUUUUGAAAUGUGACUAGCCUAAAUACACAAAAUAAAAGACAGAGAUUAUCAGAAUGGGCAAAAUAACCUACAGCUAGCAUUAUAGUUAGUAGUAAAAAAUUGGAUGCCUUCCCCCUAAAAUUGGGAAUAAGGCAAGGAUUUUCUCUCUUACCACUCUUACUCAACAUUGUAUUAGAUGUCCCGGCUACUGUGAUAGGCCAAGAAGAGGAACCAAAUGCAGAUUGCGAAGGAGCUGCAGAUGACAUGACUGUCUAUGCAGAAAAUCCCAAAUAAUUGACAAAACAACUUCAGGAACUAAUAAAUAAAUAUAGCAAGGUCGUAGUUCACACUGAUAUAAAUAAACAAUUAAAUGAGAGAGAAGUGAUAAAUCUUCUUUGCAGAAGAAUUCUAAAUAAUAUAUAUAGUCCAGGCACAGUGGCUCAUGUCUGUAAUCCCAGCACUUUGGGAGGCUGAGGCAGGAGGAGUACAGGAGUUUGAGACCAGCCUGGGCAACAUAGUGAGACCUCGUCUCUACAAAAAAUAAACAAAAUUAGCCAGCAUGGUGCCACACACCUGUAGUCCCAGCAACUCAGGAGACUGAGGUGGGAGGACUGCUUGAGAUUGGGAGGUCGAGGCUGCAGUGAGCCAAGAUCACGCUACUGCACUCCAGUCUGGGCAACAGAGAAAGACCCUGUCUCCAAAAAAUAAUAAUAAUAAUUUAAAAAUUAGGCCAGACGUGGUGGCUCAUGCCUGUAAUCCCAGCACUUUGGGAGGCCGAGGUGGGCGGAUCACAAGGUCAGGAAAUCGAGACCAUCCUGGCUAACACGGUGAAACCCCGUCUCUACUAGAAAAUACAAAAAAUUAGCCGGGCGUGGUGGCAGGCACCUGUAGUCCCAGCUACUCGGGAGGCUGAGGCAGGAGAAUGGCGUGAACCAGGGAGGCAGAGCUUGCAGUGAGCCGAGAUCGUGCCACUGCACUCUAGCCUGGGCGACAGAGUGAGACUCUGUCUCAAAAAAAAAAAAAAAAUUAAAAAUUAAUGUAUAUAGAUACUCCCCUAUUGUUAUAGAUUUAACUGUGUUCUACAAAAAGAUAUGUUAUAGCCUAAACCCUGGUACCUGUGACCUUAUUUGGAUAGGGUCUUUGCAGGUAGAAUCAAGUUAAAAUGAGAUAUUUAGUGUGAGCCCUAACCCAGUACGACUGAUGUCAUUAUAAGAAGAGGAGAGCCACAGACAAAGACAAAGAGAACAGAAGGAGAGCGUCAUGUGCCCACAGAGGCAGAGAGUGGAGUGAUGAUGUGUCUGUAAGGCCAAGGGUUGCCAGCGGCACCAGAAAUUAAGUUGUCCCCGAAGUUCAUGUGUUGGAAACUUAAUCCCUAGUAUACCAGUGUUGAAAGAUGAGAUCUUUAAGAGAUUGCUAGGUCAUGAGGGCUCUGCCCUCAUCAAUAAAUUAAUACCAUAUUGUGGGAGUUGGUUAGGUAUCUUGGAAGCGGGUUCCAGAUAAAAUAAUAAAUUUGACCCCCAUUCCCUUCUCUCUCUCAAGCAUAUUCUCUUGUCUUUCUGCCUUCCACAAUGGAAUGAGCAGCAAGAAGGCCUUCAGCAGAUGCAGUGCCCUUGAACGUGGCCUUCCCAGCCUCCAGAACUGUAACAAAUAAGUCUAUGUUCUUCGUAGAUUACCCAGUCUCAGGUAUUCUGUUAUAGCAACAUAAAGUGAACUAAGACAGAAGACAUGGAUCAAAUUCUCCCCUAGAACCUUCAGAGAGGGCAUAGCCCUGCUGACAUUUUGAUUUCAGACUUCUAGCCUCUAGAACAAGGGUUCCAACCCCUGGGCUGAGGACCAAUACCAGUCCAUGCCUUGUUAGGAACCGAGCUGCAAAGCAGGAGGUAAGUAGCAGGUGAAUGAGCAUUGCCUGAGCUCUGCAUCCUGUCGGAUCAGUGACAGCAUUUGAUUCUUUUGGGACCGUGAACCCUAUUGUGAACCGCACAUGCAAGGGAUCUAGGUUGCACACACCUCAUGAGAAUCUAACUAAUGCCUGAUGAUCUGAGGUGGAACAGUUUCAUCCCAAAACCAUCCCCCAGUCCCCACAUCUGUGGGAAAACUGUCUUCCAUGAAACUGGUCCCUGGUACCAGAAAGGUUGAGGACUGCUGCUCUAGAACCAUGAGAGAACACAUUUCUGUUCUUUUAAGCCACCAGUUUGUGUACUUUGUCACCAUUGCCUUAGGAAGCUGACAUACUCCUCAAGGAGGUGGAACAUAACUCCCACACUUAAGGAGUGGGCAUAGUGACUUCCUUCCAAAAAGAACACUGUGGAAAGGGCGAAAAAAAAGUAACUUUACAGUAGCGAAACCUGAUGAAGCCAGGUGACCAAACUCAACAUCAACAGUGAUGACUCAUGUUGAUUGUAUGUACCUUGAUAUGAUGUGAUGAAUAUGUGGUCUUCCUCCCAAAAACCUAUAACCACCAGCCAGGCACGGUGGAUCACGCCCUGUAAUCCCAGCACUUUGGGAGGCCAAGGCAGGUGGAUCAUCUGAGGUCAGGAGUUCGAGACCAGCCCGGCCAACGUGGUGAAACCCUGUCUCUACUAAAAAUGCAAAAAUUAGCUGGGUGUGGUGGCGGGAGCCUGUAAUCCCAGCUACUCAGGAGGCUGAGGUAGGAGGUUGCAGUGAGCCAAGAUCCCGCCACUGCACUCCAGCCUGGGUAACAGAGCGAGACUCUGUCUCAAAAAAAAAAAAAAAUAGCCAAGUGUGGUGGGGGACACCUGUAAUCCCAGCUACUUGGGAGGCUGAGGCAGGAGAAUCACUUGAACCCAGGAGGCAGAGGUUGCAGUGAGCCAAGAUUGCACCACUGCCCUCCAGCCUGGGCAACAGAGUGAAAUGUGAAACUCCAUCUCCAAAAAAAAAAACAUCCAUAACCCCAGUCUAAAUGUGAGAAAAACAUUGAAAACAUUGGACAGAUUCCAAUGGAAGAGCAUUCUACAAAAUACGAGACCAAUAUUCAUCAAAACUGUCAAGGUUAUCAAAACCAAGGAGAAUCCGAGAAACCACCCCAAGCCAACAGGAGCCUAAGGAGACAUGAUAACUAGAUGCAGUGUGAUACACUGAAUGGUAUCCGGGAUUACAAAAAGGACAUUAGGUGAAGAUUAAGGAAAUCGGCUGGGCGCAGUGGCUCACGCCUGUAAUCCCAGCACUUUGGGAGGCCAAGGCGGGCGGAUCACGAGGUCAGGAGUUCAAGACCAGCCUGACCAACAUGGUGAAACCCGUUUCUACUAAAAACACAAAAAUUAGCCGCGCAUAGUGGCAUGGAUCUGUAAUCUUGGCUACUCAGGAGGCUGAGGCAGGAGAAUCACUUGAAACUGGGAAGUGGAGGUUGCAGUGAGCCAACAUCGCACCACUGCACUCCAGCCUGGGUGACAGAGCAAGACUCCAGCUCAAAAAAAAAAAAAAAUACUUAAGAAAAUCUGGGCCAGGUGCAGUGGCUCACACCUAUAAUCCCAGAACUUUGGAAGGCCAAGGCAGGAGGAUUACUUGAGCCCAGGAGUUUGAAUUUACAAUGAGCCAUGAUCAUGUCACUGCACUCCAACCUGGCUGACAGAGGAAGGUCCUGUCCCUAAAUUUAAAAAUAAAUAAAUAAAUCUGAAUAAACUGUGGACUUCAUUUAUAAUCAUUGGUCAAUAUUGGUUAAUUAAUUGGAACAAAUGGACCAUACUAACAUAAGAUUAAUAAUAGGAAUAAUAGGAGAAACAGAGUGGAGUAAAGGGGUAACUAUAUGUUCAAUUUUUUCUUUUUUUUUUUUUUUUUUUUUGAGAUGGAGUUUCACUCUGUUCACCCAGGCUGGAGUUCAGUGGUUUGAUCUCGGCUCACUGCAACCUCUGCCUUCUGGAUUCAAGUGAUUCUUCUGCUUCAGCCUCCUAAGUAGCUGGGACUACAGGUGCACGCCACCACACCCAGCUAAUUUUUGUAUUUUAAGUAGAGAUGGGGUUUCACCAUGUUGGCCAGGCUGGUCUUGAACUCCUGAACUCAAGUGAUCCACCCGCCUGAGCCUCCCAAAGUACUGGGAUUACAGGUGUGAGCCACAACGCCUGGCCUAUAUCUUCAAUUUUUAUAUAAGUCUAAACAGUUCCAUAAAAUAAAAUCUGCUUCAAAUUUUUUUUUUUUUUGAGACAGAGUCUUGCUCUGUGGGUCAGGUUGGAGUGCAGUGGCACAGUCUUGGCCACUGCAACCUCCGUCUCCCCGGCUCAAGCAAUUCACCUGCCUCAUCCUCCGAAGUAGCUGGGAUUACAGGCAUGUGCCACCAUGCCUGGCUAAUUUUUGUAUUUUUAGUAGAGACGAGGUUUCACCAUGUUGGCCAGGCUGGUCUUGAACUCCUGACCUCAGGUAAUCCACCCGCCUCGGCCUCCCAAAGUGCCAGGAUUACAGGUAUGAACCACUGCACCCAGCUUCAAAAUUUUUUAAGAUUAAAAAAAAAAAAAAACCAGUGUUGCAAAGAUGUCAAUAUUCCUCCAAAAUGCUAUAAAAGUUAACUUUUUUUUAAGAGAACAAAUUUAUUAUGGUGCUUACUCUACGACAAUUUGCCAUUUGAUCUUCAUAUCAUUGCUGGUGGGCAUCAUAAUGGACUUUUUUUUUCCAUUGUAAUUCUGUGUUCUUUGUGGCAGAACUGUUUCCUAUGUGAAUGCCUCACUUGAUGAUCUUGGUUGAAGAUGAGGGUAUGUGGUUAUGUCAUUAUUCCCUGAAUGAUUGUUUGCAGUGUGCUGCAGGUAAAGAGCUUCGUAAUAGAGGUGUCCUUCAGGGAGGCCCUCAGGUUUCCUGAACAAGACCCACAGAAAGGCUGCAUCUGAUUGGGCUCACCAUGCCUUAAGAUCUAGAAUCCAUUUCUACAAAUUCAAACCCUUAGUUCUGUCCCUUUUGCCCAGAGCUGAUAUACCUAUAGAAGGCAGGUCCCCUGACUGAGCUCCACAGGCAGAUGUAGAAGCCAGAACCAACCCUGUAAGAGGCCAGAAAACCAAUCUGGUCAGGUGACCCUUCAGGAAAAUACAGAAAGAAUAAUUCCACUAACACAUAAUAUUUGCCAUGUAAACAUUUUUAUUGGCCAGGCACAGUGGCUCACACCUGUAAUCCUAGCACUUUGGGAGGUUGAGGCAGGCAGAUCACUUGAGCCCAGGAGUUUGAGACCAGCCUGGCCAAUUUGGUGAAAUCCUGUCUCUACAAAAAAAAUACAAAAAUUAUCUGGGCGUGGUGGCAUGCACCUGUAGUCCCAGCUACUUGGGAGGCCA